RNAcentral lists this long non-coding RNA (529 nucleotides) under Androctonus crassicauda. The record is from RNAcentral. Lineage: Eukaryota; Metazoa; Arthropoda; Arachnida; Scorpiones; Buthidae.
GUAAUUCCAUUAGAAGUUGAUAUAAUGUUCCUAAUGAGUCUGCUAUUAUUGAAACACCUUCAGGAAAUCUUCAUUUUUCAUGUUUAGCACAAUAUUGAGAGAUUCAAGAAGAGAUGAGGAGUAUCUUCAUUUCUUCCUGAAUCUCUUCAACUGUGCCAAAUUUCCAGUGUUUGAACUUCAGUUUCAUUCUGCAGAAGAUGAAAAUGUCACAAAUGACCAAAUCAGGAGAAUGGGAAAGGUGAGGAAUAGUAACUGUAUUGCUUGGGUCAAAAACUGUUGUACUUUGAUGGAUGUGGCAUUUCCAUGAUGGAUCAUCCAUUUUCCAAUAGGUCAGAGAUUUUGAGUGCUUGAGGCACAUAGUUCUUGCAGCAAUAACUAGCUAUCCAAAAUGCUUCGCUGACAGUCUUUAUGAAUUAAUACACAAACUUUCUCAACAUUUUUGAGAGUUACGCUUGUCAAAAAGCAUCCUAUCCAUCAUUGUCUUCAAGUAUUUCUUAGAUGCAUUUGAAAACAUUCAUGUCACUCACAG